This 380-nucleotide ribosomal RNA is filed under the name uncultured bacterium. RNAcentral describes it as "bacterial SSU rRNA". It matches the Rfam family "Bacterial small subunit ribosomal RNA", at positions 28 to 407 of the family's 1533-position model. The record is from RNAcentral.
GACGAACGCUGGCGGCGUGCUUAACACAUGCAAGUCGAGCGGUAAGGCCCUUUCGGGGUACGACGAGCGGCGAACGGGUGAGUAACACGUGGGUGACCUGCCUCUAGCUCUGGGAUAAAGCCUGGGAAGGCUGGGUCUAAUACCGGAUAUGACCUCGCGGUGCAUGUUGCGGGGUGGAAAGCCUUGUGCGGCUAGGGAUGGGCCCGCGGCCUAUCAGCUUGUUGGUGGGGUGAGGCCUACCAAGGCGACGACGGGUAGCCGGCCUGAGAGGGCGACCGGCCACACUGGGACUGAGACACGGCCCAGACUCCUACGGGAGGCAGCAGUGGGGAAGUCUUGCGCAAUGGGCGAAAGCCUGACGCAGCGACGCCGCGCGAGGG